GGGUCGUUAGCUCAGUUGGUAGAGCAGUUGACUUUUAAUCAAUUGGUCGCAAGUUCGAAUCCUGCACGACCCACCA
This 76-nucleotide transfer RNA is filed under the name Escherichia coli. RNAcentral describes it as "tRNA-Lys". It matches the Rfam family "tRNA". From Rfam's summary of the family: Transfer RNA (tRNA) molecules are approximately 80 nucleotides in length. Their secondary structure includes four short double-helical elements and three loops (D, anti-codon, and T loops). The record is from RNAcentral. Lineage: Bacteria; Pseudomonadati; Pseudomonadota; Gammaproteobacteria; Enterobacterales; Enterobacteriaceae. RNAcentral also lists the same sequence under 4 other names.